GACGAACGCUGGCGGCGUGCUUAACACAUGCAAGUCGAACGGAAGGGCCCUGCUUUUGUGGGGUGCUCGAGUGGCGAACGGGUGAGUAACACGUGAGUAACCUGCCCUUGACUUUGGGAUAACUUCAGGAAACUGGGGCUAAUACCGGAUAGGAGCUCCUGCUGCAUGGUGGGGGUUGGAAAGUUUCGGCGGUUGGGGAUGGACUCGCGGCUUAUCAGCUUGUUGGUGGGGUAGUGGCUUACCAAGGCUUUGACGGGUAGCCGGCCUGAGAGGGUGACCGGCCACAUUGGGACUGAGAUACGGCCCAGACUCCUACGGGAGGCAGCAGUGGGGAAUAUUGCACAAUGGGCGGAAGCCUGAUGCAGCAACGCCGCGUGCGGGAUGACGGCCUUCGGGUUGUAAACCGCUUUCGCCUGUGACGAAGCGUGAGUAACGGUAAUGGGUAAAGAAGCACCGGCUAACUACGUG
RNAcentral lists this ribosomal RNA (468 nucleotides) under uncultured bacterium. Its description in RNAcentral is "partial 16S ribosomal RNA". It matches the Rfam family "Bacterial small subunit ribosomal RNA", at positions 28 to 507 of the family's 1533-position model. The record is from RNAcentral.